CCUACGGGGGGCAGCAGUGAGGAAUAUUGGUCAAUGGGAGAGAUCCUGAACCAGCCAAGCCGCGUGAGGGAAGACGGCCCUAUGGGUUGUAAACCUCUUUUGUCAGGGAGCAAAGGCGUCCACGUGUGGACGAGAGGAGAGUACCUGAAGAAAAAGCAUCGGCUAACUCCGUGCCAGCAGCCGCGGUAAUACGGAGGAUGCGAGCGUUAUCCGGAUUUAUUGGGUUUAAAGGGUGCGCAGGCGGAAGAUCAAGUCAGCGGUAAAAUUGAGAGGCUCAACCUCUUCGAGCCGUUGAAACUGGUUUU
Molecule: ribosomal RNA, 305 nt
Filed under: uncultured bacterium
Lineage: Bacteria
Description: bacterial SSU rRNA
Rfam family: Bacterial small subunit ribosomal RNA
Source: RNAcentral